UAUUAGCUAGUUGGCGGGGUAACAGCCCACCAAGACGAUGAUAGGUAGGGGUUCUGAGAGGAAGGUCCCCCACAUUGGAACUGAGACACGGUCCAAACUCCUACGGGAGGCAGCAGUGAGGAAUAUUGGUCAAUGGACGAAAGUCUGAACCAGCCAAGUCGCGUGAGGGAAGACUGCCCUAUGGGUUGUAAACCUCUUUUAUAAGGGAAGAAUAAGUUCUACGUGUAGAAUGAUGCCUGUACCUUAUGAAUAAGCAUCGGCUAACUCCGUGCCAGCAGCCGCGGUAAUACGGAGGAUGCGAGCGUUAUCCGGAUUUAUUGGGUUUAAAGGGUGCGUAGGCGGUUUAUUAAGUUAGUGGUUAAAUAUUUGAGCUAAACUCAAUUGUGCCAUUAAUACUGGUAAACUGGAGUACAGACGAGGUAGGCGGAAUAAGUUAAGUAGCGGUGAAAUGCAUAGAUAUAACUUAGAACUCCGAUAGCGAAGGCAGCUUACCAGACUGUAACUGACGCUGAUGCACGAGAGCGU
Molecule: ribosomal RNA, 525 nt
Filed under: uncultured bacterium
Lineage: Bacteria
Description: bacterial SSU rRNA
Rfam family: Bacterial small subunit ribosomal RNA
Source: RNAcentral